AAAUAGGUAAAACAUGGGUUUCCGUGCCAACGUUUGACUGUCCGUCUUAUAUAAAACUUUUUUUAUAAUUAGUAUUUUCAUUGUUGUUAGAUGAUAAAUGAUUAAUAUUUUAUGCGUGACUUAUCUUUUUAAUUUUUUCAUAAUUUUUUUAAAUAAGACGGACAGUCAAACGUUAGACACGGAAACUAGGGUUUGUCUUUUU
Molecule: microRNA precursor, 202 nt
Filed under: Oryza glumipatula
Lineage: Eukaryota; Viridiplantae; Streptophyta; Magnoliopsida; Poales; Poaceae
Description: MIR812 microRNA precursor family
Rfam family: MIR812 microRNA precursor family
Source: Rfam by way of RNAcentral